CACUUGGGCCUCAGCCCGUCCGGCCAUCCGCUGCGCAGUGGCCCAAAAAUCUGCUAAAAAUCUGCUCUCAUCCCCUUCCAUGGCAGCAGCGGCCGCCGCCACCCUCCCCCAGCGUCGGCCUCAAUUGCAUUGCCUCAACGCCCGACGCCCGAAUCGCAGCCCUCCACCAGAUGAACGCUGCCCGCCACCACUAGAUCGUUGCUGCCGCGCAGUUCCUCUGUCCGCGAGGCGCCACCAUCUCCGAGCCGCCGUGGAUCUCGUGCGGAUGGGUGAUUGGGCUGGCCGCCUGCGUGGCCCUAGCGAGCUCGCCAGCCGUUGCCGAAGACCCAAAUCCCCGAGCUCGACGAGCUAGCUAGCCAUCCUGGAUGCCUUGCGGAGAAACCUUGCCAUGGGCUAUGAGCCCCGUAGCCACCUCGCCAGCUGCCGUUGGAGCCGAGCAGGUAGGCGGACGAGGACGAGGAUAGCGCGUACAACGAAGCUAUUCCAGGGGACAACGUGGAGUUCCAGCAAAGAGGUUCAGUUCAGUUCAGAACUUUUGAACGCCAAGUGGUUCAGUUCAGAACUUGGCUUGGUGGAUGUAGUGCUGGAUGCGUAAAAAAAAAUCGAAGGUAGCAGCUCAAAAAGAUGAAACUUGGAAGUCCAUUGCCAUCUUGAGGCCUGUUAACCUUCAAUUUAUAAACAUAUAUGCUCAGCUAUUUGUCGAAAUAUGUCUCACUGAAACC
Molecule: long non-coding RNA, 722 nt
Organism: Triticum urartu
Lineage: Eukaryota; Viridiplantae; Streptophyta; Magnoliopsida; Poales; Poaceae
Source: RefSeq, a predicted model, not a curated record